Non-coding RNA from Kalmusia sp. IMI 367209, 107 nucleotides. The record is from the annotation of a GenBank genome assembly. NCBI's taxonomy places the organism in Eukaryota, Fungi, Ascomycota, Dothideomycetes, Pleosporales, Didymosphaeriaceae.
GUCUCGUUGGUGUAGUUGGUUAUCACGUGGGUCUCAUAGCCUCAUUACUAUGACUGCUCUCAGCAGCAGAUAUCCCAAGGCCGCCAGUUCGAGUCUGGCACGGGACA